This 318-nucleotide ribosomal RNA is filed under the name Triticum aestivum (bread wheat). RNAcentral describes it as "partial small subunit ribosomal RNA". Lineage: Eukaryota; Viridiplantae; Streptophyta; Magnoliopsida; Poales; Poaceae. The record is from RNAcentral.
AUGUUGGCAUUGCCAAGUAUUGACAAUACCAAGACUUGCCAACUAUUUGCAACUUUAUUUGUAACCAAUUAUGCCGAAGGAGCAACCCCUUUUUUCACUUUAAAUUGGUCCAAAUACGCAGAAUUUCUGACUUUUCGCGGAGGACUAGAUCCAGUAACCGGUGGUCUCUGGCUGACCGAUAUUGCACACCAUCAUUUAGCUAGUGCUAUUCUUUUCCUAAUCGCAGGUCAUAUGUAUAGGACCAAUUGGGGUAUUGGCCAUGGACUUAAAAGAUAUUUUGGAGGCUCACAAGGGCCCAUUUACAGGACAAGGCCAUAA